Molecule: ribosomal RNA, 465 nt
Filed under: Vreelandella stevensii
Lineage: Bacteria; Pseudomonadati; Pseudomonadota; Gammaproteobacteria; Oceanospirillales; Halomonadaceae
Description: partial 16S ribosomal RNA
Rfam family: Bacterial small subunit ribosomal RNA
Source: RNAcentral
CCUACGGGAGGCAGCAGUGGGGAAUAUUGGACAAUGGGCGAAAGCCUGAUCCAGCCAUGCCGCGUGUGUGAAGAAGGCCUUCGGGUUGUAAAGCACUUUCAGUGGGGAAGAAAGCCUUGGGGCUAAUACCCUCGAGGAAGGACAUCACCCACAGAAGAAGCACCGGCUAACUCCGUGCCAGCAGCCGCGGUAAUACGGAGGGUGCGAGCGUUAAUCGGAAUUACUGGGCGUAAAGCGCGCGUAGGCGGUCUGAUAAGCCGGUUGUGAAAGCCCCGGGCUCAACCUGGGAACGGCAUCCGGAACUGUCAGGCUAGAGUGCAGGAGAGGAAGGUAGAAGUCCCGGUGUAGCGGUGAAAUGCGUAGAGAUCGGGAGGAAUACCAGUGGCGAAGGCGGCCUUCUGGACUGACACUGACGCUGAGGUGCGAAAGCGUGGGUAGCAAACAGGAUUAGAUACCCGUGUAGUC